GCGCCCAUAGCUCAGUGGAUAGAGCGCCGGUCUUCGGAACCGUAGGUCGUGGGUUCGAAUCCCUCUGGGCGCG
RNAcentral lists this transfer RNA (73 nucleotides) under Anaerolinea sp. Its description in RNAcentral is "tRNA-Arg". It matches the Rfam family "tRNA". From Rfam's summary of the family: Transfer RNA (tRNA) molecules are approximately 80 nucleotides in length. Their secondary structure includes four short double-helical elements and three loops (D, anti-codon, and T loops). The record is from RNAcentral. Lineage: Bacteria; Bacillati; Chloroflexota; Anaerolineae; Anaerolineales; Anaerolineaceae.